RNAcentral lists this ribosomal RNA (580 nucleotides) under Neobacillus niacini. RNAcentral's name for it is "bacterial SSU rRNA". It matches the Rfam family "Bacterial small subunit ribosomal RNA", at positions 57 to 618 of the family's 1533-position model. Lineage: Bacteria; Bacillati; Bacillota; Bacilli; Caryophanales; Bacillaceae. The record is from RNAcentral.
GCAAGUCGAGCGAAUCUUGAGGUAGCUUGCACCUCUUGUGUUAGCGGCGGACGGGUGAGUAACACGUGGGCAACCUGCCUGUAAGACUGGGAUAACUUCGGGAAACCGGAGCUAAUACCGGAUAAUCCUUUUCCUCUCAUGAGGAAAAGUUGAAAGUCGGUUUACGCUGACACUUACAGAUGGGCCCGCGGCGCAUUAGCUAGUUGGUGAGGUAACGGCUCACCAAGGCGACGAUGCGUAGCCGACCUGAGAGGGUGAUCGGCCACACUGGGACUGAGACACGGCCCAGACUCCUACGGGAGGCAGCAGUAGGGAAUCUUCCGCAAUGGACGAAAGUCUGACGGAACAACGCCGCGUGAGCGAUGAAGGCCUUCGGGUCGUAAAGCUCUGUUGUUAGGGAAGAACAAGUACCGGAGUAACUGCCGGUACCUUGACGGUACCUAACCAGAAAGCCACGGCUAACUACGUGCCAGCAGCCGCGGUAAUACGUAGGUGGCAAGCGUUGUCCGGAAUUAUUGGGCGUAAAGCGCGCGCAGGCGGUCCUUUAAGUCUGAUGUGAAAGCCCACGGCUCAACCGUGG